This 596-nucleotide long non-coding RNA is filed under the name Neogobius melanostomus (round goby). RNAcentral's name for it is "lncRNA (ENSNMLG00000022159.1)". Lineage: Eukaryota; Metazoa; Chordata; Actinopteri; Gobiiformes; Gobiidae. The record is from RNAcentral.
GGGCGGGGUCUGGGUGAAGAUGGGGGCACAUUUCCGGGUCAAAUGCUCCGUGGAGCCGCAGUACCGGGAGGCUCCUUCCAGCUGCUCUCUCCCACUCUCAACCUCACCCUGCCGGCCCUCAAUCACUCCGCCCACUUCCUGUUUACUGACGUAGGCCGCGCCCACAAAGGGAACUACACCUGUGUUUACAUCCAGGAAGUGUUCAACCACAACUUCACCUCCAGCAGCUCCCUCCACAUCCACCCAGGAGUGUCUUCCUUCCAGACCUUGGUCCGAGUGCUGGUCCUUCUCCUGCUGAUGCCGCUGCACUUCAUCCCGUACGUCUUCUACCGCCAGGCCACCAGGGGGCAUGAGAGAGCACAGAGAGCCAGGAGACGCAGAGCCCGCCCUGAAGAAGAACUCACUGACGUCGUCAUGGAGCAGAUGUGAUGGACCAACUUCUCCUGCUCGCAUCAUCACCGCAGAUUAAUAAUCAUUACGCUUUUUACUAUUUCAUAACAUGAUCUAAGGAUCUAUUGAGCUAAAUCUACUCCGAGCUUUUUACCGGGUUAUAAAUGUGUUCCAGGAGGAGGGUUUCCACUCGCACAGCUUUGACU